CUAGAACAAGCAUAUGUCGGAAAAAGGUAAAAAGAUAAAAUCUGAAACAAAAUAAUCCCCCUUAACACAAAGGAACACGAUCAAGCACCAACGCAAAAAGCCAAAAAAUGGGCCAGAAGAAUAAAACUCACGGAAAGGCCAAAGUCACCACAAAGCAUGAACGCACAUGUUUAAAGUACCAAAAGCAAAACCACUAGAGGUAAGAAACAUCUAACAAACUAAACAAGCACAUACAAGGCACCCAGCG
Molecule: long non-coding RNA, 247 nt
Filed under: Brassica napus (rape)
Lineage: Eukaryota; Viridiplantae; Streptophyta; Magnoliopsida; Brassicales; Brassicaceae
Description: long non-coding RNA (BNAP_LNC003255)
Source: RNAcentral